RNAcentral lists this ribosomal RNA (498 nucleotides) under uncultured bacterium. RNAcentral's name for it is "partial 16S ribosomal RNA". It matches the Rfam family "Bacterial small subunit ribosomal RNA", at positions 28 to 507 of the family's 1533-position model. The record is from RNAcentral.
GAUGAACGCUGGCGGCGUGCCUAAUACAUGCAAGUCGAGCGAACAGACGAGGAGCUUGCUCCUCUGACGUUAGCGGCGGACGGGUGAGUAACACGUGGAUAACCUACCUAUAAGACUGGGAUAACUUCGGGGAAACCGGAGCUAAUACCGGAUAAUAUAUUGAACCGCAUGGUUCAAUAGUGAAAGACGGUUUUGCUGUCACUUAUAGAUGGAUCCGCGCCGCAUUAGCUAGUUGGUAAGGUAACGGCUUACCAAGGCGACGAUGCGUAGCCGACCUGAGAGGGUGAUCGGCCACACUGGAACUGAGACACGGUCCAGACUCCUACGGGAGGCAGCAGUAGGGAAUCUUCCGCAAUGGGCGAAAGCCUGACGGAGCAACGCCGCGUGAGUGAUGAAGGUCUUCGGAUCGUAAAACUCUGUUAUUAGGGAAGAACAAAUGUGUAAGUAACUAUGCACGUCUUGACGGUACCUAAUCAGAAAGCCACGGCUAACUACGUG